GUAACUCUGACAGAGCUCAUUGUUUCCCCCUGCAGUGUAACCCUUACAGAGCUCAUUGUUUCCCCCUGCAGUGUAACCCUUACAGAGCUCAUUGUUUCCCCCUGCAGUGUAACUCUUACAGAGCUCAUUGUUUCCCCCUGCAGUGUAACCCUGACAGAGCUCAUUGUUUCCCCCUGCAGUGUAACCCUUACAGAGCCUAUUGUUUCCCCCUGCAGUGUAACCCUUACAGAGCUCAUUGUUUCCACCUGCAGUGUAACCCUGACAGAGCUCAUUGUUUCCCCCUGCAGUGUAACCCUUACAGAGCUCAUUGUUUCCCCCUGCAGUGUAACCCUUACAGAGCUCAUUGUUUUCCCCUGCAGUGUAACCCUUACAGAGCUCAUUGUUUCCCCCUGCAGUGUAACCCUUACAGAGCUCAUUGUUUCCCCCUGCAGUGUAACCCUUACAGAGCCCAUUGUUUCCCCCUGCAGUGUAACCCUUACAGAGCUCAUUGUUUCCCCCCUGUAGAGUUCAACAGACUAGCUGAGUCACCAGUGUACCCGAUAACUCUGGUACCAGGCUCCCAUUACCAGGGCUCAAUGUAAAGUCACUAGUGUACCUCAUAACCUUAAUUACAGUCCAGCACCAUUUAUCAAUGUCAAUGCGAAUUAUAAAUAUGAUCAAUAUUUUUAUCCAACUUCAUGAUAUUAUUGAUGAUUGAUCGCCAUGUUAGGGGCUACAGCUAAUUGCAUAGUAAAACUGUACUGUAUAAGAGUACUACAGCAGCACUGACUUAAAUUGUACUGUAUAAGAGUACUACAGCAGUACUGACUGAAACUGUACUGUAUACGAGUACUACAGCAGUACUGACUUAAAUUGUACUGUAUACGAGUACUACAGCAGUACUGACUGAAACUGUACUGUAUACGAGUACUACAGCAGUACUGACUGAAACUGUACUGUAUACGAGUACUACAGCAGUACUGACUGAAACUGUACUGUAUACGAGUACUACAGCAGUACUGACUUAAACUGUAUUGUGUACGAGUACUACAGCAGUACUGACUGAAACUGUACUGUAUAUGAGUACUACAGCAGUACUGACUGAAACUGCACUGUAUAAGAGUACUACAGCAGUACUGACUUAAACUGUACUGUAUAUGAGUACUACAGCAGUACUGACUGAAACUGUACUGUAUAAGAGUACUACAGCAGUACUGACUUAAAUUGUACUGUAUACGAGUACUACAGCAGUACUGACUGAAACUGUACUGUAUAAGAGUACUACAGCAGUACUGACUUAAACUGUACUGUAUACGAGUACUACAGCAGUACUGACUGAAACUGUACUGUAUAUGAGUACUACAGCAGUACUGACUGAAACUGUACUGUAUAAGAGUACUACAGCAGUACUGACUGAAACUGUACUGUAUACGAGUACUACAGCAGUACUGACUGAAACUGUACUGUAUACGAGUACUACAGCAGUACUGACUGAAACUGUACUGUAUACGAGUACUACAGCAGUACUGACUGAAACUGUACUGUAUACGAGUACUACAGCAGUACUGACUGAAACUGUACUGUAUAAGAGUACUACAGCAGUACUGACUGAAACUGUACUGUAUAAGAGUACUACAGCAGUACUGACUGAAACUGUACUGUAUACGAGUACUACAGCGGUACUGACUGAAACUGUACUGUAUAAGAGUACUACAGCGGUACUGACUGAAACUGUACUGUAUAAGAGUACUACAGCAGUACUGACUUAAACUGUACUGUAUAAGAGUACUACAGCAGUACUGACUGAAACUGUACUAUAUAAGAGUACUACAGCAGUACUGACUUAAACUGUACUGUAUACGAGUACUGCAGCAGUACUGACUUAUUAUGAGUACUAGUCUAGUACUAUGGUGAUGCAUUUCCACUGAGUCUUACCCCCACACCAGUGGUUAGCCAGUGUUUUAUGUUAAUGUAAGCUCUAGUGCAGUGUUUCCCUGGUCCUCCAUACCCCCAACAGCCCAACUCCAGUCCUCCAGUACCCCCAACAGCCC
RNAcentral lists this long non-coding RNA (2030 nucleotides) under Salmo salar (Atlantic salmon). RNAcentral's name for it is "lncRNA (ENSSSAG00000105388.1)". The record is from RNAcentral. Lineage: Eukaryota; Metazoa; Chordata; Actinopteri; Salmoniformes; Salmonidae.